GGAAUAUAAGAACUCGUCUCUUAAUUUUUAACUAAAAAAUUUAAGAACCGAUUUUUAAAUAAGAGUUUUAAGAACUGGUUCUUAAUUUUUUUUAAAAGUUAAGAGACGGGUUUUUAUAUUCG
MicroRNA precursor from Brassica oleracea var. oleracea, 122 nucleotides. It matches the Rfam family "MIR9563 microRNA precursor family". NCBI's taxonomy places the organism in Eukaryota, Viridiplantae, Streptophyta, Magnoliopsida, Brassicales, Brassicaceae. The record is from Rfam.